CUCAUACACACCUGUAUUCUCUUCCUCAUACACAUCUGGAUUCCCUUCCUCAUACACACCUGGAUUCCCUUCCUCAUACACACCUGGAUUCCCUUCCUCAUACACACCUGGAUUCCCUUCCUCAUACACACCUGGAUUCCCUUCCUCAUACACACCUGGAUUCCCUUCCUCAUACACACCUGGAUUCUCUUCCUCAUACACAUCUGGAUUCCCUUCCUCAUACACAUCUGGAUUCCCUUCCUCAUACACAUCUGGAUUCCCUUCCUCAUACACACCUGGAUUCCCUUCCUCAUACACAUCAGACCAACAUACAUUUUAUACAUCGUCAACAGAAGAGUCCUAGAAAACAUUUUUUUAAUGAUCUCUUCAAAUUGCCAAAAGGCCCAACCUUUGGCAUUUUGGCUUUCCUCAUUAUUGACACAAUGGCACUGUCACUACAACCAACCAAUGUUUGAGUCAACAAAAGCAGUUUACUUACUAAAGUGGGCAAAAGCUGAAACACAUCUGACAACCACACAGGCUAGGAGCAACAUACAGCACACCAUUUGGGAUUCAAUCCAAAUCUCAGGCUUUGUAGUGAAGCACAAAUUGGACGAUGACAGUAAUAACAACAAGGAAAUCCACGUUGACUUGGACAAAUUUUUUGACAUUAUUUUUUUCCUCACUGCACUUCAUCUCUAAGACGGGACAGGCCUGGUCCACUGUCACUGUGCAAAUAAACUCAGGGCGUGGGAGAGGGCAAAACCAAGAAGACUCAAAGAUUUACCCAGAAAUAGAGUUAUCCAUAGAGAUUGGGAUUGGAAAUUUGGAGCUGAAAUGGAGGAUAGUUUCCAGAACUCUGUUAUGUAUAUCUACGGCUUGCCCUGAUAUAAAUGAAUCAGAUCAGACUCUUACAUUUUAAACACAAGACAUGCUUUCUCUUUCUUUCUCCAUUAACUGACGACAUAAUUCUUAAAACGAAGACAGAACUAAACACAGAUAGCAAUGGAAUCCAUAACCAGGAAGAGACAGGCAGAACUAGAAUCCAUAACCAGGAAGAGACAGACUGCAGUAGAAUCCAUAACCAGGAAGAGACAGACAGAACUAGAAUCCAUAACCAGGAAGAGACAGACAGAACUAGAAUCCAUAACCAGGAAUAGACAGACAGAACUAGA
Long non-coding RNA from Oncorhynchus tshawytscha (Chinook salmon), 1154 nucleotides. Lineage: Eukaryota; Metazoa; Chordata; Actinopteri; Salmoniformes; Salmonidae. The record is from Ensembl.